CCUACGGGAGGCAGCAGUGGGGAAUAUUGCGCAAUGGGCGAAAGCCUGACGCAGCGACGCCGCGUGAGGGAUGAAGGUCUUCGGAUCGUAAACCUCUGUCAGCAGGGAAGAACGGUCACUGUGCUAAUCAGCAGUGAAUUGACGGUACCUGCAAAGGAAGCACCGGCUCACUCCGUGCCAGCAGCCGCGGUAAUACGGAGGGUGCGAGCGUUAAUCGGAAUUACUGGGCGUAAAGCGCUCGUAGGCGGUAUGUCAAGUCAAGGGUGAAAUCCCCGCGCUCAACGUGGGAACUGCCUUUGAAACUGGCAGACUGGAGUGUGGGAGAGGAAGGUGGAAUUCCAGGUGUAGGAGUGAAAUCCGUAGAUAUCAGGAAGAACAUCAGUGGCGAAGGCGACUAUCUGGCACAUAACUGACGCUGAGGAGCGAAAGCGUGGGUAGCAAACAGGAUUAGAUACCCGAGUAGUC
This 465-nucleotide ribosomal RNA is filed under the name uncultured bacterium. RNAcentral's name for it is "partial 16S ribosomal RNA". It matches the Rfam family "Bacterial small subunit ribosomal RNA", at positions 338 to 795 of the family's 1533-position model. The record is from RNAcentral.